Molecule: RNA transcript, 2888 nt
Organism: Myiozetetes cayanensis
Lineage: Eukaryota; Metazoa; Chordata; Aves; Passeriformes; Tyrannidae
Gene name: transmembrane protein 121-like
Exons: 2
Source: RefSeq, a predicted model, not a curated record
GAGGGGAUGUGUGUGGAGUGAUUCCGGGGUUUGUUUUGUUUUUCGGCAGGGUCAUCUGGCUGCUUCUGGCCCCGGUUCACCUCCGUUCUCCUGCGCCCUGUCCUGCCCCCAGCCCGGAUUUGUUCAGAUUUCAUCGGAGAGGCUUGGACCUUCUGUGAAGGAACCUUUGGGGGGAGUCCUGGUCGGAACCAGCCGCUGACAGCAGCCCAGCAGCAGCCUUUGCCAGCCAACACAGAGCAACUGCAGGCUCUGCUCCUCCAGUGAUCCAACAGCACCUCCCGAUCGUGGUUAGAAUUGCACCAAAAGGCGGAAAGUACUGAACAGUUUGUGGGGUUUUUUUUGUAGGGAACUUUGGCUGCAGAAUUAUUUAGAUGUUUUUGUGUUCUUUUGUUGUUCUGCCAAUACACAAUGAGGGCUGUUUUCUUUUCUUUCUCCAUACUUCCUCAGCUGGAGACUUAAUUUCGGAUUUACAAUUACUUGGAGGGAGGAGCUUGGUCUUCCUCAUAACUCAUCCUCCUUAGCAAAACACUUCAGUCUCAUUAAACUGAGACACCGGAGCACCCCCAGCACCACGGGGUGAGCCCCUCUCAGCUCUGCAUUGCCCAGGGCACAGCAGAAGGAGCCUGUGCUGGGCCUGGUACCUGAGAAUGGCACAACUAUCCCACCGCUCUGGGCUGGGGCUGCUGGCAGCAGGUGCCUGCAGGUUGUGGUGAUGAGGGAGAAAACAUGGCUUUGAACACAAAAGGUACUCUUAUAGCUAAAACCAUGACAGCUUGACACAGACCGGCCAAGACUCCCCCCACCUUGUCGAUGGGCAAAAGUACGGGAGUGGAGGAGGGACCAGAAGCAGCCAGAUGACCUGGCCGAAAACAAAACAAACUCAGAACCUUUCUACACACACACACACUCACUGAGUCAGGGCAAAAGUGGAGUGCCUACUGUUCUGGAUAUUCCCUCCAUUCUGUAUUUUUGACAAAUACUUCCCUGAACUGACUCUAUAUUAAUUCCUUUUUCCUACUUGUCAUGCCCAGUUUCUUUCUUCUCCACUCUGAUGUCACCUUCCAACACCUUGCUCACAUUAGCCUUUUUCUGUGAUGUUAAAACACCUCUUAGCACCCUGUGAUCAGCUUACUCAGAAGCUGUUCCCCACUUGUUUGGAGAUUUUUUUAAUUGCCUUCCUAAAGGAUGCCCACCAAUUCCAGCCACCUCUUGAACUCUGUGGCCAGAUUCUGGGGGCCACAAGCCUCUUUUGGAGCGGUUGAAGCUUUUAGCAUGGUCCCCAGGUCACUGCCAGCCUUUCCCCACUGCAGUCAUUGCUUGCUAUUCCUUGCUGACAAACUUCCUCUGCUUCCUGCAGUUCCCCUUUGAGGAUGUUAACCAGACUGAAGGUUGGAUUUCUGAUGGAUUUCUCUGUCUCUCUCCCAUCAGCCUUAGAGUGCAUUGCUGUCACUGCCCUAGAGGGACUCUUCAGUGACAACAGUGGGGUGCAGGUGUCACAGGCAGCACAGGCCUAAGCUGAAGAUGCUUUUCCAGACAGGUCUGGAGCCAGCAGCAGCCAGGGAGCAGCUAUGUGCCUGGGAACCCUGGUGUACCCUCUUUGGUUUCCUUCAGUUUUGUCUCUGAUACAGCUGCUUCCACAUAUGAACUCUGGCACCUUGGUUCCAGCAUCAUGUUUUAGAGAAGCACAAGUAUCUGCUCUUGCUCUGGCUCCUUAUUUUUAUGUGCCUCGUUAAAGCAGUUCUUCACUGCUUCCCACGCAAAUGUUGUCACCUCCCGUCCUAGUCUCUAGUGAAGAUUCAGGGGUUUUAUGAUUCCAGCUCACAGAUGAAUCAUCUUAUCUUUAGCCCCACUGCUUGGUAGUUACCUCCAGCACCUCUCUCCUACCUCUGUCGUAUAGGUACCUCUGUGGUGUCUGACUCCCUGGGCACUCCGUGGACAGAGACCCCUUGCAGCCUGCAAGAGAUUGCUCUGAUAGCAAGUGAGAACUGGUGCUUCUGCAUCCAUUAGGAAAGAACUAUUUUUUUUCGGCGUCGGCUUGCAUUCUUGUGCCUCACAGUGCUCUCCACUGAGGCAGAGUUGCAAGGUUUCAUUUUUGGAGGCACGUUGUUUAGGCUGCUUUGUUUCCCUGCUCUUUCAGCCCUCCUGGGGAUCGCUGUUUAUUCUGGUGCUAGGAGAAUGAUCCCACAGCCAAACCCUUUACCUUGUUGCACCUCUGUAACCCAGAGCUCUGCUCCCUUCACACAGGCCCUCCACCUGCCUGCAUCAGCUAGUCCACACUCAACAUAGGACACAUGAGCUAAGCCUUGAUGCUGGUCCAGUGUCUCCAUUUGCCAUGGACACUGUAGAUGGGAUUCAUAUGUUCUUGGUGCCACCCGAGAUGCCCCAGGGCAUCAGAUACAACAGGAACCUGUGGCUACCCUGUCAGGAACUGAUGCAAGGUGAGCUGCAUUUCCCCUGACACUCUGUCACUUGCACUUGUCCUCGGUCUGAGGUCUAUGCCUGGUUUUGUUCUUAGCCCAUCUCCAGAGAUCCAAGAGCCUCCCCAUCUUCCAAAAAUACAUAUAUUUACAAUGAGCACUUUAAAGCCAGAAAUACACUGCAAAACCUUCCCUGUGUAGCUAAGACCAUAAUCACUUAGAAGCAAGUUCGGUGUUAAAUGCAAUAAACUGCUUAAGGCUGAUAGAAGAGCAUUUGUAGAGAGGUAUGUCCGCCAGGGUAAGGGAAACCUUUCGCCUUCCCUGGCUUGGUUUAUCUGCACACAAGCACCUGGCUGUGCCAAGCCCAGCUGUACCAGAGCCCUGAGGAGCUGGAGCUCCCACGACCCUGCAGCCCAGCAAGGCGGGGUGCCAGGUCACGGAGGUGUGUGGGUUCCCCUGCUUCCUCCACCA